RNAcentral lists this ribosomal RNA (482 nucleotides) under uncultured bacterium. Its description in RNAcentral is "partial 16S ribosomal RNA". It matches the Rfam family "Bacterial small subunit ribosomal RNA", at positions 30 to 507 of the family's 1533-position model. The record is from RNAcentral.
AUUGAACGCUGGCGGCAUGCCUUACACAUGCAAGUCGAACGGUAACAUGUCUUCGUUUGCUGUCGGGUGGCGAACGGGUGCGUAAUACUUCCACACGUGUCCGAUCGCUGUGAAUACGGGAUCACAUGCUUUGCUAAUACCUCAUACGAUCUACUAUUGAAAGCCGGGUGCCGCAAUGCUUUGCGCCGACUUUGCUGCCACUGGUAGAUUGGGUAGCUGGUGGGUUAAAAGUUUAUCAAGCCGACGAUUUGCAGCUGUACUGAGAGGACGACCAGCCACACUGGAACUGAGACAAGGCCCAGACUCCUACGGGAGGCAGCAGUGGGGAAUUUUGGACAAUGGGCGAAAGCAUGAUCCAGCCAUGCCGCGUGAAGGAUGAAGGCCUUCGGGUUGUAAAAUGCUUUUGUAAGGAACGAAAAGACUCUUUAGAAAAAAGAGGGUCCAUGACGGUACCGUAAGAAUAAGCACCGGCUAACUACGUG